UACAGAGGGUGCGAGCGUUGUUCGGAAUUAUUGGGCGUAAAGGGCUCGUAGGCGGCCAACUAAGUCGGAUGUGAAAUCCCCAGGCUCAACCUGGGAACUGCAUCCGAUACUGGAUGGCUUGAAUUCGGGAGAGGGAUGCAGAAUUCCAGGUGUAGCGGUGAAAUGCGUAGAUAUCUGGAGGAAUACCGGUGGCGAAGGCGGCAUCCUGGACCGACAUUGACGCUGAGGAGCGAAAGCCAGGGGAGCAAACGGG
RNAcentral lists this ribosomal RNA (253 nucleotides) under uncultured bacterium. RNAcentral's name for it is "partial 16S ribosomal RNA". It matches the Rfam family "Bacterial small subunit ribosomal RNA", at positions 524 to 776 of the family's 1533-position model. The record is from RNAcentral.